CAGGGCAGCCCACGUCCUUCCCUCCCCGCCCACCGGAGCGGCGUGGAGCCCUCCUGGCAGGCAGCGUGGCAGUCGGGGGGUGCAUGGUGAGCACCCCGCUGAAGCGCUGGCUGCCCCCUUCUCUCUCUCCCCGCCGCUCCCUCCCCUCCACUAGAUCGGGCACGCACUCUGCAGCACAGGGAGUGCCUCUGCACCCUGGCUCCGGCCGCCCUGUUUUAUUGCCAAAUAAGAUCUCCUCUGCCAGGAAAGUACAAACAAGAAGACAGAAGGAUUGGUUGAGGGUCAGUGACAUUAGGAGCAUGGAAUAUCGUAACAGGAAGCUAGCAGUAUCAUAGAGUCACAGGCAGAGUUUCAGACCAAAAGGGCCUACCAGAUCGCCUACUCUGACCUUCUGUAUAUUGAUCACCUCGCACUCACAUGCUAAACCCAAAAACCGGAAUUGGCCAAUGUUACCAAAACACCCAAUGGCCAGGAAGAAAUUUUAGCUCCUGCUUGAACAAUUGUGGGGUUCUGGUGGUUUAACCAAAACAACAACCGGAGCAAAGGUCUCUGUAAAGCAGGAGGAAAGAAUGCAGCAGCCAGUCGGCAAACUUCCAAAACUGCCAACAAACUGUCAGUUGAAUUGACCAAGAAGCAAAGUGUCCAUGCUAUUGCCCCCAGAAGCACUAGUGCUGAUUCCGCUGAACUCCAGCCAGCCAUAAUCAGAACCCAGAAAUGGACAGCAAUACAAAAGUCAGCAAACACAGUGCAUUGCAUUUCACUACUACCACAAAACUGGGAAAUAGAUACUUGGAGCCAGAUUGUCAUCAGGCAUGAAUGGGCAUAGCACCAGUCACCUCAACGGAGCCACAUGUAUUUACAUGAGAUGAGGAUUGAGUGUCUCUCCAGAGCAGUGUGGCCUAGUGGAUAGCACAUUAGACUUAUGCCUCAGAAGACCUGGACUGUACUCCUGGUUCUACUGUGAGAGGUAGAUGUUAUCGUCACGCCCUCCACAAACUGACUUUACUAGUACCUGAGCAUCUUGUCAUGUCAAUAAAGUGACUCAAGUUUAAAACUAUGCACCUUAUCACUGAGACAUACCCAGCAGUCAUUUAAUUUCCUCUCCUUUUCUGGCCCUCCUUAUGGUUUAAUCUUGUGAGCAACAUUAACACGGAGGGGUAAUUGAAACUGGCCUGAUAAGGAUAUUUACUUCUGCAUUUUAUCUCUGAAGAAACAGCAAAUAAAGAGUCGAGUCAGGAUAAGAGGACGAUGCAGAUCAGAAACAUUAAAGCACAGAGAAGCGGAGUGUCAGCCUGAAGUCUCACACAGCACAUCAGCAGAGGAGUCAGGCAUCAAGCUUAGUCCUCGUGAGGCCUGGGCCAGCGCCCUGAACCACUGGACUAUGUUACCUCUAUAGCCCACCACAAAAGGACUCAAAACCUUCAAUCUUCUGAUCAAAAGCUUGUUAUAUUGAAAAUGGUAUUAAAAUUGUGAUCAGUCACUUGAAAUUUCAGAGGGUUUCCUGGUCCUGCUUGCAGCCUACGGGGCUCAGUAGGGAAGUGUGCAAUCUAGGCCCAACAGCAGGGAGUCUGCAUAUGGACAGCCUCGAGUCAGGUGGGGUGAAGUGUGCCUCUUUUAGGGAGCAGCCUGUUCUCUCUUUGUUUUGGGGUUCUUGUGUGUCAUCAUUAUGAUUCUCAGAAAAAUUUCUGUUACAGUGCAACUUUCCAGCAAGAGUUUUUAUCUAACGUCUUUUGUGUGCCAUGAACAUAACAAAGCCAAGUGAGUUAUGCAGUAGGCUAUGUUGUCAUUUCAUGUAUUUCUCUCUCCUCCUAAGCUCCAUCCUCUUCAAAAGUCCCUGCUGCUACAACUUUGGCCAUGCAGCCCCAAAGGAAGAAGCCUAUCAAACAUCUGUUCUCCAAAUCAGGAAGAACUUGCCCUAGAAGAGCUGUGUGUGAAGGCUUGCCUACCUUGUGACCGCAUCAACUGGACCUGCUGAAACAUAUGUCAUUA
Molecule: long non-coding RNA, 1989 nt
Organism: Gopherus flavomarginatus (Mexican gopher tortoise)
Lineage: Eukaryota; Metazoa; Chordata; Testudines; Testudinidae
Exons: 4
Source: RefSeq, a predicted model, not a curated record